AUGUAUCAGAUGAGAAAGUUGUGGUGUGCUCCAUAUCUUGACGGUCGUUGUUUCCUAGGAUUGAGCAGCAAUCAGAGGAGUGAGAGCUUGAACUCUGUGCUACAUACGCAUCUUGAGGGUAAGAUGUCGUUGUUUGAAAUGCUAGAGCACUAUGAGCGUUGCCUUGCGUCGCGACGGAUUAACGAAGCUCUCCAAGACGUCGAAGCCUUGCAGUCCGUUCCAUUUACAGAGGAAAAUGCUUCGCCGCUUGAGAAACACGCCGCAACAGUUUUCACACCUAGUGUCUUUAAGAUGGUCUUAUGGAGCAUAGAUGCUGUCAGCAAAUGUCAGAUGAGAGAGAUACUAGAUGGAUCAGAAGAUUCCACUUAUGUUGUGUCCAAGCAGGAAAGAAUGGAUAAAAAGUUUGGAGUGCGCAUUGAAGAGCAAGGAGGUCUUUUGCACAGGGUGAGUUGUUCUUGCCGGAAUGCGCAGGCAUACCAUGUUCCCACAUUUUUUACAUAUUGGCGAUUUUAA
Molecule: ribosomal RNA, 513 nt
Filed under: Triticum aestivum (bread wheat)
Lineage: Eukaryota; Viridiplantae; Streptophyta; Magnoliopsida; Poales; Poaceae
Description: partial small subunit ribosomal RNA
Source: RNAcentral